Molecule: long non-coding RNA, 4292 nt
Organism: Gadus morhua (Atlantic cod)
Lineage: Eukaryota; Metazoa; Chordata; Actinopteri; Gadiformes; Gadidae
Exons: 3
Source: RefSeq, a predicted model, not a curated record
GAGAGAGAUAUGAAGUGGGUCAAGGUUUCUCAUUCUGUGUUUUAACGCUCGGUGAAUGAUACAACAUAAAUACACCAUUAUAACAAGAGGACUUCGAUAACCGGACAACAUACGCUCAGCCAGGGAUGGGGCCUCCCCACGCCAGGCCUUUAGGGCCCCAUCGGUGCACCAUGCAUAAUAGUAAAUCGGCCCUCACCAUCCAGGAACAAACUGGCACUCGCCGUACAGGUAGGUCUUACAGAGAUGUAAACUGCUGCAUCCAGGUCCAGCGCACACCAGCCUUCUGCACAGUCGGAAGGCUGGUUGCUAUAGCAGCAGCUCGUGUGAUAGCAUAUGACAAUUUUGAAGGUUUUGAGAACCACGACGAAGAAAUUAACAACAAAACUAGCUCUGCUUGCUACGGAAAGCCGAAAACUGUUCCUCAAUUGAUCGGGGAGCCGAUCAGACGCUUCUCUCCAUUAUAAUGCGCGUUGGCGAACCGGUCUCGGUUGCUGAUGAUCUUGUUCACCGUCGAAGCGUCUCCGAACACACAGUUGGCCACCCAGGAUGGGUUUUUUGAGAUAAGUUUUGUGUUAUGCACUCAAAAAAAUAAAUCAUUGGAUCAACGUGAUUUUAUCAUGCCACCUAAAAUUCCACGUAAACAAAUCAUGUUACGUCAGCGAAUCUUUAUCAUGUUAUUUAAACACAUUGUACAUGUGUAGGUUGAACAUAAUGUUAAUAUUUUCAUUCAACUAAUUUGCAUCUUGUUGAAUUUAUUAGUUUGUACUUCAUGUGACCAACAUGAUUUUAUCAUGCAACCUAAAUUCCACGUAAACAUCAUGUUAUGUCAGCGAACCUUAAUCAUGUUAUUUGAAUUAUGUUCCUAAAUCGUAUCGUAGCACAUGUAUCUAGAUAAGUAUCGGAUCGUCCUCUAAAGGAGAGAUGCACAGCCCUAAUAAUAUCAAACAAACAAGAACCAGUGAUAUAAUCGCUCAUACAUUUUAAGCCUGCAGAUGAUAGAAUCCCAAAGAGAGCUAAAGCCUUCAACACAAACACACAACCAAAGAGUUUUGCUCAAGAGAAACAAGAAGUAAACAGCAAUAAUCCAAAAUCACGUAAAAGUGAAGCUCAUGGCAUCACAAAGUGUCCCACUUUCACAGCUAAGAGUGUUGAAGAUAAAAAGGCAUUUAUCCAUGAAAAUUGGCUCUGCUUUGGAUGUUUGAGAAAGGGUCAAAUGAUCAAGGAUUGUAAGAGGCGGCACACGUGCAACACAUGCAACCGUCGUCACCCAACCUGUUGAAGCAAUAACGAAUAGCUCCACUUCCACAGAGGAACAUGCAAGCCAGGAAACACACAAAGUCAUGUCCCAUACAUCAACACAACGUGCAUCUGCUACCUCAAGUAUCCUCCUAGUCUUUGUGUCUUCAGUACAAGAACCACACAGAGAAAUACUCACAUACGCAAUACUAGACACACAAAGUGAAUCAACAAUUGCCUUAGAAGAUGUACUUGAUAAAUUGAAUGUGGAUGUCCAACCAAUAAAACUGAAACCUAGUACUAUGACAGCAAUUGACACAAUCAUAUCGAGUAAGAGUCUUCAUGGUCUACAAGUUCGAGGACUCCACUCUGAGAGCCGUAUUCAACUACAGCAGGCCUACAGCCGUGACUUUAUCCCGGUGGAUAAGUCUUAUGUUCCAACAAAGGAAACCGCAUUACUGUGUCCUCAUCUCAGAAGCUUGGCAGAUAAUUUACCACCCCUUGAAGACUGUGAUGUAGGGCUCCUAAUCGGAUACGACUGUCCAGCAGCACUAGCUCCUCAUGAACUCAUCUUAGGUGAUGAAAACUAACCAUUUGCACAGAGAUCAGAACUAGGAUGGAGUAUAAUAGGCUGAUCAAACCCCCACUUAGACAGUCAAGGAGGUCAGAGCUUUGUGCAUCGACUCACAGUAAAAUAACUGCCAGUUCCAUCAGCGACAGAUGUUCUAAAGGCCCUGGAAUCAGACUUUAUUGAGAGAACUUAUGAGGAUAAAUAUGUGACCCAAGAAGAUGUUCAUUUCAUACAGUUCCUCAGUAACCACAUCACACAGAAGGAGGACGGGCAUUAUGAAAUGCCUCUCCCCUUCAAAGGCAACAGUCCGCCCAACCUGCCAGACCACAAAAGGUUAGCCAUGGUUCGAGUCACUUUUCCUCAUGGACAACACUUGUAAAGGUGGUUGCAAGAAUCAAGAGACAGAGUGCUAAACAAAAACAACAUAGUGAACGUGUGACUGUGGAGGAGCGUGAGAAGGCUGCUGAGGCAGUGAUUAAAAUCACACAGCAGCAAGCCUUCCCCCAUGAGAUAAAGACGCUUCAAGGUGAAAAAUACCUCCCAAACUCAAUCUCUCUCUUCAGUCUUGAUCCCAUUUGGUCUCAAGGACUUCUCCGUGUUGGUGGGAGAUUAAAAAAGUAAUCUCUGCCACAAAAUUAAGUACCCAGUCAUCUUACCAAACAACAGUCAUAUGACUAAGCUGAUUGUGUCCCACUGCCACGCUAAGACAUGCCAUCAGGGUCAAAGCCAGACACAAAUGGAACUUAGGACAAAUGGAUUCUGGGUCAUUGGUGGCAGCAAGCUGGUUGCUAAACUGAUACUUACCUGUGUGCUUUGCAGGAAACUUCGACGGCCGACAGAGUACCAGCGGAUGGCUGAACUCCCUAAAGAACGUCUUGAAGCCUCAGAACCUUUUACAAAUAGCGGCAUGGACUGUUUUGGCCCGUUCAUUGUAAAGAAAGCCCGCAAAGAAUAUGAAAGAUAUGGCCUGAUUUUCACAGGUCUGUACUCAAGAGCUGUCCAUAUCGAGAGAUUUGUCGACAGACUCAUUCAUCAACGCAUUGAGAUGCUUUAUCAGCCUCAGAGGAGCUGUCCGACAACUACACUGCGACCAAGGUUCUAACUUUGUUGGCGCCAGAAAUGAGUUUAAGGAAGCACUUAUACAAUGUGACACCAAGCUCCUGGAAAUGUGCCUGUCUGAGAAGCAAUGUGAAUUUCUCUUCAUCGCCCCCUCUGCCAGCCAUGCAGGCGGUGUCUGGGAACGGCAAAUUAGAUCUGUUCGAAAUGUGCGGAAUGCAACCUUCGCCCAGUGCCCAUGUCGACUUGAUGAAGCCUCUCUCAGAGCACUGUUGUAUGAGGCCAUGGCAAUUGUUAACAGUCGCCCAUUAACAGUAGAUGGAAUCAAUGAUCCUCAUGCGCUGGAACCUUUAACACCGAAUCAUCUCAUCAUGAUGAAAUCUAAAGACGACAACCUCCCGAGAAAUCAUUGGCAACUAGGACGAGUGGUGGAGACUGUUUAAGACAGCGAUGGCUUAGUCCGUCGUGUCAAAGUGCAUGUAAGAGAGCGAAAGUCUCAAAGAAAACAAGAUCCCCCUUCCAAACCCUCAGUUAUUGAGAGACCAAUCCAACAAUUAGUGCUUCUCCUUGAAAAAUUAUGCAGAACAAACCACAACAGUUAUGUGCACACUGCUUUAGUGAUAUGAUGUGAUUCAAAUAAUUUGUAUGCCUCUGACAGUUCAAUGUAAAGUAAUCUAUUAAUUAAGAAAUUAGUCAAGAAAUCCUGUACAAUUAAUUUGCUUCUUGUGUAUUUGCUCAUUCAUUGUAGCAGGAGUUGGUGGGAGUGUAAAUUGCAGUUAAUUUCGUCUAUAAGUUAUGCCAUUUUACUUUUUUGUACUUUUAUUUGACGAGCACCCCCCUUAUUUUGUUACUUCCUGUUAUCAAAAACGCUAGACUUCCUGCUCCCUCUCGGCAAAAACCACAUGCUCACGAAGCUACAGAGUUGUGUAAGGGCUGGUACCGCAGGCUGACCUCAAACUUAGCGCGCUUGGAAGCAGAAAGACAGGAGAGAAGCUCUUUCAGUCCGUCGGCCAGCCCCCAGCCCAACUCCACCUCCUCCCCCGUCCAUGCCCCCGCCGCCCGGCCCACCGGCCGCAUGGAGGAGGACCCCACCCGGCUGCCCACCCACCUGCGUGAGUCCAGCGCACCUGCGCCACAGACACAGACAGACAGACAGACAGACAGGAGUCAAACCGGGUUCCUGGCUCUGUAUUUUUAUUUAACAUGUGAGGACCCCAGGGCUUUCCUUCGGGACGCCUUCAGAGAAUGAUUACAACUGCAAGGGCCCGCGGGUCACAAGUCCUCACCCGAGGCCUGUCCUGCUGUGCUAUUUAUUUCCUUAUUGACAGAUGGAAGACAGAAUAUUCCCCUCAAGGCGUCCUCUCUCACACAUCGGUCUGACACGCACACACACACACGAACACACACACACACACACACACACACACAC